RNAcentral lists this long non-coding RNA (8389 nucleotides) under Coffea arabica (coffee). RNAcentral describes it as "long non-coding RNA (CARA_LNC004003)". The record is from RNAcentral. Lineage: Eukaryota; Viridiplantae; Streptophyta; Magnoliopsida; Gentianales; Rubiaceae.
GGAGGAAAGCUUUAGCGUUUUCUGCUGUAGUCAGGUUCAGCCUAUGGCUUGAGCAUGCUUUUGACCUACUGUAGCCUAGGAUUUUCAGGUGGUAAUAUGCUGCAUGCGGACAUGGGUCCGAUCGGUUGCCAGGAAAAUCGUUCGAACUGAUUUUGUACAAAAUGCAUAAAAAGUAACUUUGUACGUGUACUGCAUAAUUCACUUGCAACAAACAUGUAACUGUAAAAUAAAAUUUUAUAAAUUUCAUAUAUGAUAUAAUAUGGAUCUUAUAUAUAUAUAUAUUUUUUGUCAAAUCUUCGCCAUAAACUUUCAGAAAUGAUUGUUCCUGCCCCUCCUCCGCUGCAUGCUACAGUCAGAGGAAUGAAGUCACCAUGGACAUGUGUCAUGGUGACUUGUUCGGCCAUUUCCCGAACAAGGGAAAAGGGUAGUAUUAAGUUUGGUCCCAAACUUACAGGAUAAGUUUGAGGCGUGAAUUCAACAUUUCUAGAGCUCCGCCCAGGGUAAACUGGUAAUCUGAUAAUCUUGUAAUCAUCUUAUGGAAUGGAUAUCGUGAAACAAAGGGAUAAACCUAUUCUCCCUAGCGCUUAUUGGGUAAGGCCCUAUAAAUAAAUAAGGAAUCAUAUCAUGAAAGAUAUGCACACACUUAAAAAUAAUUUUUAUUCCUACCCAGAGGUGCUCUCGGCUCCUUUCACUGUACUUUUAUCAGCAGUUUUUCCCUGCCUUGUCAAAGAGAGAGAGGCAUUUGAGUUUUAAAUGUAAAUCACGAAUGAGUAAUGACAUUAAUGAAAAGAACGGAGGUUUAAAUCCUCCACUUAGCUAAAAUCUGCUGCAUGUUCUUUAAUUUUUGAUUAGAAGGUUCACUUGAAUGGAAGAAACUUGACUCAUCAAUUUGCUUCAGUCAUAUGAAUUUUCGUGGAUGAGGGAUCUUUGCCUAAACAAUUUCUUGCAAUCAGCCUCACUUCUUGCCUGCUAAAUUAUCUGGAGGAAUCUAUCGAGCAAAAGCCCCAAAUUUAAAUGGCCAGCGUUGUUAAGAUUCAGGAGAGCAAAAGGCAAAAACACCAUUACGAUUUACGAUAAAAAAAAAAAAAAAAAAAAAAAGACCACAUGAUUGUAAUUUGAAAAAGGUGAUGCCAACAUGGCAUAUUUUUCCAUGCGAAAUACACGCUUCUAAACAUUUAAUGCACACCCGUGCACGGGUCCGACACUCACUAAGGUUUUGUUUGAGUGAGGGCAAAAGGGAUCACUUGGGAUCAUCCGUGACAUAUUUUCUAUGCCAAUUCAAUGUCAUCUAUAGUAUUAUGCCAAGUGUUCUGUUAUUAUUUACAUUUUAAUUUUCAAAUAAUUCAACUUGGUUUGGUUUAACACAAGUGUAAAUAAUAAUAGGACACUUGGCGCAAUACUAUAGGUGGCAUUGAAUUCUCAAGUGAAAAGGGAUAGCACAGAAAAUUUCUACAAGUUCAUUAUUGGAAUUUCUUGUUUUGAAUUAUGAAGAGAUUAUGAUCAGGUAAUUAGCUCUUGCUGAGCUGAUAUUUCAUGCACUCCAAUUUGAUAUCAUUGCUUGAACAACAACAGAGUAAACGAAAAGUGAGUAGCUGGUAAAUAGUCCUGCCCUGCCCUUCAAAUAUAUUUGGUUUAGCUGGGUGUUAGCUUACCCCACCCCCCCCCCCCACCCCAAAAAAAUUUCAAUCUUGCAAAAUUUAUAUCUCGAGAAUUCUUGUCUUCAAUCUAGUUUCUUGUAUAUCUUUUUCUAUUCAGAAAAAAUACAUACACAACGAUGUUUUACUUUCCUUUUGUCGUAACAAAUCUGCAUUUUCUAAACUUUUUUUCCUAAUGCUACAAUAAAAUUUCAGCUAAUCAUAUAACUCAAAUAACCAUUCACUAAAUGCUGCUUUCUUUGUACUUUCUUUCUAUUCCCCCCCCCACCUCCCCCAACUCAAAAUAAAAUAAAAAAAAAAAAACUCUUUUCCUGAAGAACAUCGCACAUAAUUUUUCUGCUACUCAAACAUGCUUGCAAUUUUUCUUUUAGUUGAGAAAUUGAAGGAGAAUAAAAAGAACAGAGACAAUAGGAUCCAGCCUUUUUAUCACGUGGGAGUUAAACGGAGGGAACUCUCCGUCACACAAACCUUAUAUUCAUUGAAGGUUGAACCAAAAGAAAAAAAUGGUAAUGAAACAUUAAUCCAAUUUUUUCUUUUUUGGGGAAGUUCUCUUUUUCUAUAGUAACUACCAAACUAGGCCUUAAUCUUCGUAGUGUACAACCUCGUACUGUAGAAUGCUAGGGCAGGUAUAUAAGUUCACAAUCUCUACCCUCAGCUCAGUGUUCUAAGCUCCCAAAAUAAAUCCACUUAGCUGCAAGCCAGCAACCAUCCAUCUGCUUCAAAUCCUACAAUAAGCUAAUAUGUCCACCAUUUCGAUGGUCAUGGUAAUCUUACUGUCCAUGGUAAAUGAUGACCUCGAAUAUUAUCACAUUUCUCAUCCUCCAUCGUCAAUGUUUAUGGAAGACAAGGAACAAGGGUACUGCCGUUCUCCAGCUGCACCUGCUGAUGGAGACGGAGAUGACGACGACGAUGACGGUGAUGGAGGAUAUGAUUAUGCUCCAGCUGCUUGAAGUUUUCAUCGGGGCUUUACCAAUACCCUAGUUUUUAUACCAUCAGCCAAACCCUAGUUCUUGAAUACUAAAUCCCAUAUUUUAUUUAAACCCUAAAAUUUUAAGACCGCUAAUAGAGUGUAUCUAUCCCCUUGUACAAGGUUAUCCAAGAAUGUCUUUCACUUAGUUGAAAUAAGGAGAAUAUGUAUGUAGUGCUUUCUAAGGAAGAAAUCCUGCAGUUGAUCGUUAUAUACAGCCCUAAUUUCUUGGCUUUGCAUCUAUUAAAUCAGUACGCUGUGAAAGUUUGAGGUACUAGUGAAUGACUCGUUUCUUGCUAGUCACUUUUUAUACCCUAAGGAUUAUAAACUCCAACGGUUUGUGAAUCCAUACAUGUUCAUGUUUUAUCUUUUCUUUUUUCUUUUUUUCUUUUUUGGGGUCCUGGUAGGCCAUGUUCAUGUUCAUGUUAUCAAAAAGGCCUCCAAAAUAUUAAUUAGGAAUUAUAGUUCCAUUGCAAUUUCCAUGGUCAAAAUUAUGUAAUUACUGGGGCUUAUACGUACAAAAACAAUCCUGGAAUGGCCUCCAUAUCUCAAUCAUGGUCUGAUUUAGAGGGUGAAUGAGCAUUUCUGACAAAAGGUUAAUCGUUUUUGGUAAAGGAAAUGGAGUAGGGUUUGGAACUUUUCCAGUUCUGACUGAGCAUUUUGUCACGCAAAAGCACGAUAUAAUGCAUAAUGGAGCUCCAUCAUCUCAAUAUUUCUUACACCAAGAUGAAAAGGGCUAAUCAAGCCAUUGAAGUUUCGUACUCAUAAUUUGAAUUAUCUAUAUCUUUUUCAUACAUUUGAUUACUUUUAUGUUGGAUAUAUAUCUAAUUACUAAUUGUUACAGGAAGUAUAAGUUUUAGAUGGUUCCGUUUCUCAUGGAUUUAUAUAUCCAAACAGUGUUCAGUUUGGAGAAAAUCUAUCUCAAAUUGUCUCUUCGAGACUCCAAAAGAUUGGUUUGGGGGAUCUAGUGGCAUCUUAUUCACUUGAGAGCCGCCCUAUAUAUCCAAAAAUGGUCCCAUGCUUAUUAGUUAAAAGAUUAAUCUCGUAUACAUUCUCAAUAUAUGCACUAUCACCAUUAGAUAUAUGUCACAUGUGUAAAAUUUGAAUUUAGAAUCUAAAAUUUGCUCAUGUGUCAUCCAUCCAAUUGUGAUAGUGUAUAUAUUGACAAUGUAUAUAAAAUUUAUUCUAAGUUAAAAUCUAUUUCCCAUCGUUACUUUCAAGAAAAUUGUUGGGUAAAUUACAUGUAAUUCCUUCGUAGUUUCAUCUGUUGUCACGUGAUCCCUUUAACGUUUCAAAAGAUCCACUUCACUGCCCUAUGAUUUUAUGUAAAAUGAAAAUUUGACGAAAAAUAAUUAUGUACCAUCGGUAGUUAAAAUAUCAAUAGUAUCUUUACUUAAAUGCAAAAUUAAUAAAUGGUUUAACCAUCAUGUAUGCAAGUAUAAGGAAAUUACAUGAAUAAAUUCAAAAAUCAUAAGAAUUAAAGUGAAUAUUUAUACAAAUUAUAAGGGAGUACAUGGAUAUUAAGAUUUUAUCACAUGUGCUUUAAAGCCCGUUUGGUGUCCAUUUUCUAGUUUACAUAGAACCACACGGGAAUUAUGUGGCUAUUUUAACUUUAUGGGGGUUAUCUGGCAUUUUGUAAAAUCACAGGGGGGUAAUAAGUAUUUUACCCAAAAUUGUUUGCCCUAGACGUCGUGCUUCAAUUAAAUUUUAUAACUUACGCAUUUUCUUAAAAGUGAUCCUCGAAUGAACUAAUAUGGCAAAAUUUUCCACUUAAGGUUGAAUGGUUGCUAGAAUGGAAGCUCCAGCCCGGACCUUUCGUUUUAGAAUUGCAAUGACCCUAGGAACUUUUUUAUAGGUAUGUCUAACAAGAGUUCUACUUAAAAAAACCUUGCCAUUAAAGGCUUGGUGAGGUGGGAGACAAGGGUUCAGACGCUUGGUGUAGUGCACAUUAAGUUGCCUCUCACCAACUGCCACAUUAAGUAGCUUCUUAAAAAAUUCAACAAGUGUGUAGUGCACUCGUCUGGUCCGAUAGUGAUUCAGUUUCCAUCGAUCCCCCUAAACCCAGUUGGUCUGCCCCUUAUAUUAGGAUAGUGUAGGAUACUAUAGAUAAAAAAAAUGACGAUUGACAAAAAAAAAAAAAAAAGCAUUCUACUUGCAGGAAUAGGAAUACGAAUAAUUUCGAAUACCUUCUCCUGAAGUUUCUGACAAUUUUACUGACCUCCUUUGAUAUUUGAAAAAUUACACGUAUCUCCCUUGAUUUGAUAGUUUUAUUAACAAAAUUUUAAAAUAAUAUUGAGUUGGUCAAAUUUUUAAAUGAAUAUCCAAAAAUGCUCUUGUGUAAUGAGUUUUAAUUUACUUUUCCAUACAAUUAUAAAAUUAUCUAGUAUAAUUAUAAGAAAAGGUGCCAAAAUUUUCAUGUCUAUACUUACUAUUUAAUAAAUAACUAUAAUAAUAAUUUUAUCACUAUGGUAGAAUAUUUUUUAUGGUAUUUUAUUUUGAAUUUAAAUUUAUAAGUUGAAAAGAAAAUGUUGAAAUAAUUCAUUUAGAGUUUAGAAAUUUUUUGAGUUGUGGGAUUAUCAUAAUUUAGUAAUGAUUUUGGAUCAUUUCCUUUUGAUUUAUUGUUAAUUUUAAUACCAAAAAAUAGAAAAUAAAUAUCAGCAAAAACAUUGGAUUGCGUAUAAAGUUAAUUUAUCAAAAAAAUCACUAGUUUGAUAUUUGAUUACAAUAGAAACUAUAGGUAAUAGUGAUAGUUCUACAGUUUUAUUGGCAAAAAAUUCAAAAAAAAAAAAGGAAUAAGAAGGAAAAGAAUAAAAUUUUUUUUAAAAGUCAUUCUAAGUAUAAACAUACAAAAUAAGGGAAUUUUAUUAAAAUAUUUAAGGAUAGUACUAUCAUUUUAAAUAACAAGUGAGGUAUAUAUAAUUUUUAAAAUCUCAAGAAGCUAAAUGAAAUUAUUAAAAACCUCAAGGGAGGUUUUUGAAAUUAUCCCAUAGGAAUAUGAAUGUCGACAUUUUUUGAAAUUUGAAUGCUCAAAAUGUGGCCAUGACUCUUGAGUCCAUUCCCCAUGCUCCACGGUAGCAGCUCGACCACAUGCCUGAUUUCACAUCAUAUGAUUGUGCUUCCGGAGUCUCUCCACUUCCAGCAACCAAAGUAGUCCCCGUCUCAUUGAAUGGUUGAUUGAAUGGUUCAAGAUAUUUAUCACGUCAGAAAAGUCAAAGCAAAUUUUAGUUUAUCUUUUCAAUAUAAUUCUUCUUUCUAAUCGUAUGCAUCUAAUCAUUCAAAUUUAAAAUUUGAAUUUAUAGGGAUAAAAUUGAAAAAAGAAAUACAAACAUCACAAUUAAAUCACUAUAUUUAAGAAAGUUGAAUUUCCGAAACAUAAUUAAAUAAUUGGAACAGAGGGAGUAGUAGGUUUGUAGCACAUGAAUGAUGAAACCGCAGUGCAAAAAUUUGGAGCAAUGCAAAAAUAACUCUCUUAAGGGGUAUGUUGGUCGUUGAAUUGUAUGAGAGGUGAUUAUGGAUCAGAGAACAAAUCAAGGAUAUAAAGCUUCUGAGAAUAUUCGAUCAAUGGAUGUUUAGCUUGGCUUUGUGUGCACAUGCGAUGCAUACGUGAACAGCAAUACCGUAAUCAAAUCAGGUCCGUUAAAAAUGUGCUAGCUUUUUCAAUCUUGCUUGCUCUUUUAUCUUCAUUAGGCCUAUAUUUAUAAAUACUAGUGGGGAAUCGCACAUACUGUGUGUGUGCACAUCAAACAAAUAUUUUUAAAGCAAGGAAAAAAAGGGAUAAUUUUUUUUUUGGAGAUUAUUCAAAAUUUUUUGGUGAUUAAAACGUGAGUAUAUUAUGUUGAAUUUUGAAAGGAUACACUUCAAAUAAAAAAUAAUAAUGAUGUAAUUUUUUAACAUCAAACUCGUGAGCCAUCCAUUAUACAUGGAGUGAUAUAUAGAAUUCAGCCUCAAACAUAAUAAGUGUACAGUGUUGAUGCCGUUUCAAGAACCGACCGACCAGAUUGUGUGAUGUGGCAGUUUUAAUUGUUUACUCCCCUUUUUUAUUAAAAAAAUAAAAAUAAAAAAAAAUAAAGUCCCGGUAGCGUCAAGCCCUCGUCCGGUCAUGCCCUUGUGGCCCAACGACAUGGUGGACGUCACCGGUCUUGUCUUCCCGUACUGGAUUUUGUCCGAUGAAUCGAUAUUUUAACCAUAAAAUUGUACUUGCGUCUCCGGGUAACUAUUUUGCCCCAAAAAGAAUGGAGUAUUACCGUAUAUGGAAACAAGACAGUGUGAUGCAUGAUAGAUACUCUAAUAAACAGUUUCCUGGAUUAUGAUCUGCUGAUCAUAUGAUUUGUCUGUCAAAAUUUAAGUUGACCAAAAAAAUUCUUCCCGUGUCCGCACCGGAGAGUAGUUCCUGCGUACCAAUCCCCGUUUAUUUUACUCCAGAGCCACACUAAACAUAAAGAUGAACAUUGAAUGUUAGGAGGAAAGAUUGUAAGUAAACCUUUAAGACCUCGACAUUUAUUUGAUUUUUUUUUUUUUUAAAAAAAAGCAAGUAGUAGAAGGACGGUUAACAUUUUGUUGAGUGAUGAAUAAAUUUGAUGGCACGGAAGAAGUAAUUCAAAGAGAGAUGUCUCGAGUUUCAACACUUUCACUUAUAUUUAAAAAAGUUUUUUUUUAAAAAAAAAAAACGGAUAUUACUGACGUGUCAUAUGAGAUCUCCGACGUGGUUAAGGGACCAGUGGCACACACGUAAUCGGCGUCGGGAUGUUGUCAUAAUCCCCGUGCCAGCCCUGCGCUGCACCACGCCUCCCCUGCUUCCGAUCCACUUCUAUAGUGUUAUAUACUCCCCUGCUACCCAGUCUUCCUUUACACCAAGUCCAGUCUAACAAAAAAAAAGAAAAAAGAAAAAACUCCUCCAAUACGUAGUCCUCGUACUUCGCUUACCAGAAGUAUAUUUAAAUUUUCCUUUUCCAUUUUUGUCUCCUCGGUGAAGUUUGAGUUGAUCCGACUACCCGACAAGAGAAAAAAAAAUAAAUGUCGAUUGCUUUUAGGAACAUCAUUAUUGAGUCGUCAUGGUACGAGAAGAAGAUGAGGAGGCAGCACGCAGAUGGAGAUGACGAUGAUGAUAAUGGCGGCUAUGAUUAUGCCCCAGCCGCAUGCGUUGAAGGCGAUGGCGACGACGAUGACGGAGAUUAUGACUAUGCUCCGGCUGCAUCCCUGGAGGAGGAGGGUGAUGACGACGAUGACGAUGACGAUGACGGUUAUCAUUGUGCUCCAGCUGCAUGAACUUCAUUUACUUCACCCAAAAUUUCAUACUUGCACCUGGGAAUCUUUUCGCAUGUUCUUUUUUUUUUUUUUAAUCAUAUCGAACCUUCCAAGUUACAACUCAAUUAGUAUUGAUUAAUUGUAGUAUUCCUCGUUUCUGAUAUUUUAGCCUCAGAACCCUAAUGGUGAAAUCUAUUAACUUCCUUUUCCGGAUUUUUACAGUUUCUGGUUCUGCUGCUCUUUUUGGUUUGUUUAAUUGUACUGCUAACGUUACGUGGGUUGCAGUACUGUUCAGUCAGAGUGAUAAUUUAAAUAAAGUCACAAUAUUAUAUAAUUUAUUUGUGACAGUAUAAUACGACCAUCAGCAUGAAUAAAUUUUGCAACUGACGUGUUUUAAAUUUCUUUUCAAACGACAAAGCAUAACUUUGGGGUCGCGGGGCUCAUAAAAGAGGCCCGGUUAUAGAGAAAGAGGGGCAGAGGAGGAGGGAGGGACUAGGGAGGGAGGGAGGGAGAACAGAAAAAA